GCGGGUGUGGUGUAGUCUGGUAUCACUUUAGCUUGCCAAGCUAAUAACUCGGGUUCAAAUCCCGGCACCCGCA
This 73-nucleotide transfer RNA is filed under the name Firmicutes bacterium HGW-Firmicutes-8. RNAcentral describes it as "tRNA-Gly". It matches the Rfam family "tRNA". From Rfam's summary of the family: Transfer RNA (tRNA) molecules are approximately 80 nucleotides in length. Lineage: Bacteria; Bacillati; Bacillota. The record is from RNAcentral.